CGUAGGUGGCGAGCGUUGUCCGGAUUUACUGGGCGUAAAGAGCGCGCAGGCGGCUGGUCAAGUCCGAUGUGAAAGCUCCCGGCUUAACUGGGAAAUUGCAUCGGAAACUGAUCGGCUGGAAGGUGGGAGAGGGUAGCGGAAUUCCCGGUGUAGUGGUGAAAUGCGUAGAUAUCGGGAGGAACACCGGUGGCGAAGGCGGCCUUCUGGACAGUGACUGACGCUGAGACGCGAAAGCGUGGGGAGCAAACAGG
Molecule: ribosomal RNA, 251 nt
Filed under: uncultured bacterium
Lineage: Bacteria
Description: partial 16S ribosomal RNA
Rfam family: Bacterial small subunit ribosomal RNA
Source: RNAcentral